ACAGCAGUCGCCGCGGUAAUACAGAGGGUGCGAGCGUUAAUCGGAUUUACUGGGCGUAAAGCGUGCGUAGGCGGCUUUUUAAGUCGGAUGUGAAAUCCAUGAGCUUAACUUAGGAAUUGCAUUCGAUACUGGGAAGCUAGAGUAUGGGAGAGGAUGGUAGAAUUCCAGGUGUAGCGGUGAAAUGCGUAGAGAUCUGGAGGAAUACCGAUGGCGAAGGCAGCCAUCUGGCCUAAUACUGACGCUGAGGUACGAAAGCAUGGGGAGCAAACAGGAUUAGAUACCCGAGUAGUCCCUGUCUCUUAUCC
Molecule: ribosomal RNA, 305 nt
Filed under: uncultured bacterium
Lineage: Bacteria
Description: partial 16S ribosomal RNA
Rfam family: Bacterial small subunit ribosomal RNA
Source: RNAcentral